AUUGAACGCUGGCGGCAGGCCUAACACAUGCAAGUCGAACGGUAACAGGAAGAUGCUUGCUUCUUUGCUGACGAGUGGCGGACGGGUGAGUAAUGUCUGGGAAACUGCCUGAUGGAGGGGGAUAACUACUGGAAACGGUAGCUAAUACCGCAUAACGUCGCAAGACCAAAGAGGGGGACCUUCGGGCCUCUUGUCAUCGGAUGUGCCCAGAUGGGAUUAGCUAGUAGGUGGGGUAACGGCUCACCUAGGCGACGAUCCCUAGCUGGUCUGAGAGGAUGACCAGCCACACUAGAACUGAGACACGGUCCAGACUCCUACGGGAGGCAGCAGUGGGGAAUAUUGCACAAUGGGCGCAAGCCUGAUGCAGCCAUGCCGCGUGUAUGAAGAAGGCCUUCGGGUUGUAAAGUACUUUCAGCGGGGAGGAAGGGAGUAAAGUUAAUACCUUUGCUCAUUGACAUUACCCGCAGAAGAAGCACCGGCUAACUCCGUG
RNAcentral lists this ribosomal RNA (490 nucleotides) under uncultured bacterium. RNAcentral's name for it is "partial 16S ribosomal RNA". It matches the Rfam family "Bacterial small subunit ribosomal RNA", at positions 30 to 507 of the family's 1533-position model. The record is from RNAcentral.